AAAACAUUUCGACCACGGCAGGACUCGAACCUGCAAUCCCCAGAUUCGAAGUCUGGUGCCUUAUCCAUUAGGCCACGCGGCCAU
Caenorhabditis elegans is the source of this 84-nucleotide non-coding RNA. The record is from Ensembl. Lineage: Eukaryota; Metazoa; Nematoda; Chromadorea; Rhabditida; Rhabditidae.